UCCACUAUAAGUGUUCUCUGAGUGUUGUGUAGCUGCAGCAACCAGUGACCACCAUUCUUAACCAGCUUCCUAUUGCUCCCAGAGCAGCGAGACCCACACCUGACAUACAAAUACCAAGAAGUCAUGGACAAACUGACAAAGGGCGUGCCUAAUGUCAGAGAGGAACACUGCUCGGAACACUAAAUCAAAUGCUGACAACCUAUAAGACACACUGGAGACGUGCAUGUGAAAGCUGUCGGGAAGAGAAUCCCACUGCAGUGUAUUCUUAUGCUGAUUUCCGUGUCCUUGGCAACCGGGGUCUUCCGUAUUACACCUGUGAAUACCACUUCUGGGUUCAGGGCAAGACUGCUUACAAUGGGGUGUAGCGGCUAUCCACCUCUACCUGUGUGUGUGUGUGUGUGUGUGUGUGUGUGUGUGUGUGUUUGUGUACUUGAGCACCAUGACCAAAAAAAAGAAACUGGGACAUUUUGGCAGUCCUAUUCUACAAUUUGGAAACGUAAAUGAUAAUGUGUGUAGACCAAAAUAUUUGUACAUUUUUUUUAAUGUAAUUUAGAUUAAAUCACUUUGUCUAUUUGCAUUAGAUUAUUCUUAAAAAUUGUUAUCCGGCACAGCCAGAAGAGGACUGGCCCCUCAGAGUCUUGUUCCUCUCUAUGUUUCUUCCAAGGUUUUUACCCUACUUGGGAGUUUUUCCUAGCCACUGUGCAUCAAUUUAUUGUUCUUGCAUGCUCUUUGGAGU
Molecule: long non-coding RNA, 736 nt
Organism: Esox lucius (northern pike)
Lineage: Eukaryota; Metazoa; Chordata; Actinopteri; Esociformes; Esocidae
Exons: 3
Source: RefSeq, a predicted model, not a curated record